GGCCUUUUGUAGAUUUAAGGUCCAACCUGCCCACUGAGUAUUGAAGGGCCGUGGUAUACUGACCAUGCGAAGGUAGCAUAAUCAUUUGCCCCUUAAUUAGGGGCUGGAAUGAAGGGUUAGACGAGAAACUAGCUGUCUCUUCUAUUUACUUGAAGUUAAUUAUUUGGUGAAAAAGCUAAAUUUCUCUUAGAGGACGAUAAGACCCUAUAGAUCUUUAUAAAAUUAUAUUAGUUUUUUAGAUGUUAUCAAGUUAAUAGGUUUUUUAUUUCGUUGGGGCGACGUUGAGGGUUGAGAUAUCUCUCAAAAUGUUUUUACAUUAAUAAAUGAUUUUUGAUCCUUUAGUGAAUUAGGAUAAAGUUACCUUAGGGAUAACAGCGUAAUUUUUCUUGAGAGUCCUUAUCGACAGAAAAGUUUGCGACCUCGAUGUUGGUUCAGGGUUCCUUUUAGGCGCAGCAGUUUAGUAAGGUAGUCUGUUCGACUACUAAAUCCCUACG
RNAcentral lists this ribosomal RNA (494 nucleotides) under Branchinella occidentalis. RNAcentral describes it as "partial 16S ribosomal RNA". It matches the Rfam family "Bacterial large subunit ribosomal RNA", at positions 1831 to 2600 of the family's 2925-position model. The record is from RNAcentral. Lineage: Eukaryota; Metazoa; Arthropoda; Branchiopoda; Anostraca; Thamnocephalidae.